This 83-nucleotide transfer RNA is filed under the name Blumeria hordei DH14. RNAcentral describes it as "tRNA-Glu for anticodon UUC". It matches the Rfam family "tRNA". Rfam says of the family: Transfer RNA (tRNA) molecules are approximately 80 nucleotides in length. Lineage: Eukaryota; Fungi; Ascomycota; Leotiomycetes; Helotiales; Erysiphaceae. The record is from Rfam by way of RNAcentral.
UCCGCAUUAGUGUAGGGGUUAACAUACUCCGCUUUCAACAUGAAACCUCCGGAGAGCCCCGGGUUCGAUUCCCGGAUGCGGAA